GUCUCCAGAAAAGGAUUGUGCAUUUCCUUCUUUUUUACUCACUUAGUCCGAAUCUGUACGAAGUCAAAGACUGCAUAUCACGUGCCUUCAUAUUUUGAAAGUUGACUACUGCUGAUGUAAAGUACAUCGGAUGCAAGUGCAAAAAUCUUCUCACCUUCCAAUGGUCCUUGGUCUAAUUGUCUAUUCAGCAGCUGGAAGAAACAGGCACUGGACGGUCAAUAAUGGAGAGUACCAUCGUGGAAAUGCUUGCGUCUUCAUAGCCGCCGUGCAAAUGCAACGCGUUAACAACGAAGGGAACUUCUCGUGAGCUGUUCUUGUAAGUAAGCUGCCUGCCAAUCUCAGCUUAUAUGGUUGAACUGGUCAUUUAACCAUAUAAGCUGAGAUCGUCUGAACAACCCAUCAUCCCAUCAC
RNAcentral lists this long non-coding RNA (411 nucleotides) under Setaria italica (foxtail millet). Its description in RNAcentral is "long non-coding RNA (SITA_LNC003964)". Lineage: Eukaryota; Viridiplantae; Streptophyta; Magnoliopsida; Poales; Poaceae. The record is from RNAcentral.